UCCUCUUUACAGAGGCAGUUUGUCUCGAGUGCCCGGCAUGAUCCGCUGGUAACAAGACAUGAGGGUUGCGCUCGUUGCGGGACUUAACCCAACAUUUCACAACACGAGCUGACGACAGCCAUGCACCACCUGUGUAGCACCCUCGAAGGCGACGCCGUUUCGGGCGCUUGCAGCUACAUGUCAAGCCCUGGUAAGGUUCUUCGCGUUGCAUCGAAUUAAGCCACAUGCUCCACCGCUUGUGCGGGCCCCCGCCAAUUCCUUUGAGUUUCGGUCUUGCGACCGUACUCCCCAGGCGGAGUGUUUCACGCGUUAGCUGGGCCCCUGAUCCACGUAGACCAAGGGCGAACACUCAUCGUUUACGGCGUGGACUAC
Molecule: unclassified non-coding RNA, 372 nt
Filed under: uncultured bacterium
Lineage: Bacteria
Description: contains 16S-23S intergenic spacer region
Source: RNAcentral